AUUGAACGCUGGCGGCAUGCCUUACACAUGCAAGUCGAACGGCGGCACGGGAGCAAUCCUGGUGGCGAGUGGCGAACGGGUGAGUAAAGCAUCGGAACGUGCCCAGUCGUGGGGGAUAACGUAGCGAAAGCUACGCUAAUACCGCAUACGAUCUGUGGAUGAAAGCGGGGGACCGUAAGGCCUCGCGCGAUUGGAGCGGCCGAUGUCAGAUUAGGUAGUUGGUGAGGUAAAGGCUCACCAAGCCGACGAUCUGUAGCUGGUCUGAGAGGACGACCAGCCACACUGGGACAGAGACACGGCCCAGACGCCUACGGGAGGCAGCAGUGGGGAAUUUUGGACAAUGGGCGCAAGCCUGAUCCAGCAAUGCCGCGUGCGGGAUGAAGGCCUUCGGGUUGUAAACUGCUUUUGUACGGAGCGAAACGGCUUCCACUAAUACUGGGGGCUAAUGACGGUACCGUAAGAAUAAGCACCGGCUAACUACGUGCCAGCCGCCGCCGUAA
Molecule: ribosomal RNA, 500 nt
Filed under: uncultured bacterium
Lineage: Bacteria
Description: partial 16S ribosomal RNA
Rfam family: Bacterial small subunit ribosomal RNA
Source: RNAcentral